This 491-nucleotide ribosomal RNA is filed under the name uncultured bacterium. RNAcentral describes it as "partial 16S ribosomal RNA". It matches the Rfam family "Bacterial small subunit ribosomal RNA", at positions 29 to 507 of the family's 1533-position model. The record is from RNAcentral.
GUGAACGCUGGCGGUAGGCCUAACACAUGCAAGUCGAACGGCAGCACCGUAAGAGCUUGCUCUUACGGGUGGCGAGUGGCGGACGGGUGAGGAAUACAUCGGAAUCUACUUUUUCGUGGGGGAUAACGUAGGGAAACUUACGCUAAUACCGCAUACGACCUACGGGUGAAAGCAGGGGAUCUUCGGACCUUGCGCGAUUGAAUGAGCCGAUGUCGGAUUAGCUAGUUGGCGGGGUAAAGGCCCACCAAGGCGACGAUCCGUAGCUGGUCUGAGAGGAUGAUCAGCCACACUGGAACUGAGACACGGUCCAGACUCCUACGGGAGGCAGCAGUGGGGAAUAUUGGACAAUGGGCGCAAGCCUGAUCCAGCCAUACCGCGUGGGUGAAGAAGGCCUUCGGGUUGUAAAGCCCUUUUGUUGGGAAAGAAAAGCAGCAGGUUAAUACCCCGCUGUUCUGACGGUACCCAAAGAAUAGGCACCGGCUAACUUCGUG